Long non-coding RNA from Esox lucius (northern pike), 488 nucleotides. RefSeq lists it as uncharacterized. The transcript has 3 exons. NCBI's taxonomy places the organism in Eukaryota, Metazoa, Chordata, Actinopteri, Esociformes, Esocidae. The record is from RefSeq and is a predicted model, not a curated record.
UGAGAGAGACUGACUCAGCUAAAUACGUGUUCAGAUUAAUUACUUAUCAGCCUGGAAGGAAAUGGCUUGUCAUAUCGGGAGUCACCCUAUAUGUCACAGGUCUUCAGGUGGAUGUGACUGGUGGAGAUAUUAAGACACUGACCUGUAACACCACCUGUCCUCUGACUGGUAAUCCCACCUAUAUCUGGUACAAGAACGGACAACAGAUUGAUGAGAGCUCCCCCCACCAGUACAAAGACCCAGUCUACAGUAAAUGUGAAGACAGUUUCUCCUGUUCUGUUAAAGGUCAUGAGGAUCCCCACUCUCCUACAGUGUGUGUUCAGAGUGUGUACUGCAGCAGAGUGACUUACACCCAGAGGAGAAUCUGUGUCUUGAAGGGGUCAUCAGUGGACAUAUUCUGUACUUAUGUUGGUCGUUAUUAUGUCACAUCAUCACUGUGGUUUAGUCCUAAACAGAGUGGUAGAUGGAGGGAUAAGUUGAUCCCUGAG